RNAcentral lists this ribosomal RNA (301 nucleotides) under uncultured bacterium. Its description in RNAcentral is "partial 16S ribosomal RNA". It matches the Rfam family "Bacterial small subunit ribosomal RNA", at positions 509 to 809 of the family's 1533-position model. The record is from RNAcentral.
CAGUAGCCGCGGGAAUACGUAGGUGGCGAGCGUUGUCCGGAAUCAUUGGGCGUAAAGGGAGCGCAGGCGGGCAUGUAAGUCUUUCUUAAAAGUUCGGGGCUCAACCCCGUGAUGGGAAAGAAACUACAUGUCUUGAGUACAGGAGAGGAAAGCGGAAUUCCCAGUGUAGCGGUGAAAUGCGUAGAUAUUGGGAGGAACACCAGUGGCGAGGGCGGCUUUCUGGACUGCAACUGACGCUGAGGCUCGAAAGCCAGGGGAGUGAACGGGAUUAGAUACCCGAGUAGUCCCUGUCUCUUAUACA